This 372-nucleotide ribosomal RNA is filed under the name uncultured organism. RNAcentral's name for it is "bacterial SSU rRNA". It matches the Rfam family "Bacterial small subunit ribosomal RNA", at positions 526 to 896 of the family's 1533-position model. The record is from RNAcentral.
CGAAGGGUGCAAGCGUUAUUCGGAUUUAUUGGGCGUAAAGGGUUCGUAGGCGGGAUUGUAAGUCAAGUGUGAAAUCCCCAAGCUUAACUUGGGACGUGCAUUUGAAACUGUGAUUCUUGAGUCAUUGAGAGGGUGGUGGAAUUGUUGGUGUAGGAGUGACAUCCGUAGAGAUCAACAGGAACAUCAGAGGCGAAAGCGGCCACCUGGCAAUGUACUGACGCUGAGGAACGAAAGCGUGGGGGAGCAAACAGGAUUAGAUACCCUGGUAGUCCACGCCAUAAACGAUGAUAACUAGGUGUUGGGGGAUUGACCCCCUCAGUACCGUAGCUCACGCGCUAAGUUAUCCGCCUGGGGAGUACGGCCGCAAGGCUA